RNAcentral lists this ribosomal RNA (398 nucleotides) under uncultured bacterium. RNAcentral describes it as "partial 16S ribosomal RNA". It matches the Rfam family "Bacterial small subunit ribosomal RNA", at positions 338 to 733 of the family's 1533-position model. The record is from RNAcentral.
CCUACGGGUGGCUGCAGUGAGGAAUAUUGGUCAAUGGGCGAGAGCCUGAACCAGCCAAGUAGCGUGAAGGAUGACUGCCCUACGGGUUGUAAACUUCUUUUAUAAAGAAAUAAAGUGAGGCACGUGUGCCUUUUUGUCUGUACUUUAUGAAUAAGGAUCGGCUAGCUCCGUGCCAGCAGCCGCGGUAAUACGGAGGCUCCGAGCGUUAUCCGGAUUUAGUGGGAUUAAAGGGAGCGUAGAUGGGUUGUUAAGUCAGUUGUGAAAGUUGGCGGCUGAACCGUAAAACUGCAAUUGAUACUGUCAGUCUUGAGUACAGUAGAGGUAGGCGGAAUUCGUGGUGUAGCGGUGAAAUGCUUAGAGAUCAAGAAGAACACCGAUUGCGAAGGCAGCUUACUAAA